GAUGAAGAACGUAGUGAAAUGCGAUACUUGGUGUGAAUUGCAGAAUCCCGUGAACCAUCGAGUCUUUGAACGCAAGUUGCGCCUCAAGCCAUUAGGUUGAGGGCACGUCUGCCUGGGCGUCACAUAUCGUUGCCUGAUGCCAGUUUCCUCGUGAUGGGUGACUGUGCAGGGCGAAUGAUGGCUUCCCGUGAGCAUUGUUGCCUCAUGGUUGGUUGAAAAUUGAGUCCUUGGUAGGGAGCGCCGUGAUAGAUGGUGGUUGAGUGACGAACGAGACCCAAUCAUGUGAGACCCCUACCGAAUUUGGCCUUCAUGACCCACAUGCGUCUUUGGAACGCUCAUGACGAGACCUCAGGUCAGGCGGGGCUACCCGCUGAGUUUAAGCAUAUCAAUAAGCGGGGA
This 399-nucleotide unclassified non-coding RNA is filed under the name soil metagenome. Its description in RNAcentral is "partial contains 5.8S ribosomal RNA, internal transcribed spacer 2, and large subunit ribosomal RNA". The stretch from base 1 to 122 matches the Rfam family "5.8S ribosomal RNA", at positions 35 to 154 of the family's 154-position model. The record is from RNAcentral.